This is a long non-coding RNA of Monopterus albus (swamp eel), 731 nucleotides long. RefSeq lists it as uncharacterized. The transcript has 3 exons. The record is from RefSeq and is a predicted model, not a curated record. NCBI's taxonomy places the organism in Eukaryota, Metazoa, Chordata, Actinopteri, Synbranchiformes, Synbranchidae.
UGGUUUACUUCCUUCUCUGUGCCACCUCACCUGCCCUAGCUUUACCUCAGUACUCACCAUUUAUUGUUUUCACCUGUUCCUCAUUAUGUCCCGGUCUGCAGCACAUACAAUAUAUACCUCCUUUUUUCCCCUCAGUCCUUUGCUGGUUCAUUGACGUUACUAUGAUCCUGACAACGCUGAAGAAACUCACUUUGUUUCUUGUUCCUGCCUGGUUUGCUGCUCACGACGUACGUGCACUGUGUGAGUCUUCAUCUGCCACUACCUGUGCUUCUCGUUCCUGCCUGGUUUGCUCCUGACGGCAUCAGUACACUUUCUACACUGGCCAUGUCUCCUGGCCCAGCCUAUCUUGCUGUAUAUUCCUGUUUGGCCAGCGAUGCUGUUACUCACCUGUCUCCAUCACCUUACCCUACUACUCACCUGUGUGCCCCCUCGUCAACCUGGCUCUGGUCCUGCCUCCACUCCUUGGUGUAGCCUCAGCUCCACUCUGCCAUCCUACUUACCACCUUUGGGAGGUCCUGCCUGCCUGACUCACCUGAGCGCUCCCGGCUUCUUGAUCAUGUGGGGGCAGCACCAGCUGAUAAGUGACACAUGACUCAUGUCAGUAUGAUGUUACCAGCUUGCAGCAUGGAGCCCUUGGUCCAGGGCAUUAUUUUAAUUCCUCAUCAGAAAAAUACAUGGAAAGACUUUGUUUUCAAAUCUUGCAAAGAAAUUACAAAUAAAAAGUAACUGCU